RNAcentral lists this unclassified non-coding RNA (206 nucleotides) under Gemella bergeri. RNAcentral describes it as "16S-23S ribosomal RNA intergenic spacer". Lineage: Bacteria; Bacillati; Bacillota; Bacilli; Caryophanales; Gemellaceae. The record is from RNAcentral.
AAAAAGGAAUAAGUUGGUAAUUCGUUUAGUUUUGAGUGUUCAAAGAAUACUCAAGCACAAUGAAAACUGAAUACAAAUAUUAGAUCAAAAAAUUUCUAAAAAGAAAACAGAUUUACAAAACCGAGAAACAAAAGAAGUAAGUAAGUGAAAAAACUUAUUCACAAAAAGAGUUCAAGGAAGAAAACGAAGCAAAAAGCUACACACGA